GACGAGGGGCUCAAGUAAAUGUUUUUAGUUUAGUAGUUAGAUGAUUAUUUAUNGAAAGUAGGUUUAGUCUUNUUGGGUGAAAUUUUAAGAUUAAUUAAUUUCUUNAAUUGNUUUUGAAGCUAUGAAAUUUAAAUUUUAAACUAGGAUUAGAUACCCUAUUAUUUUAAAUGUAAAGGUUGAAUGCUUGAGUAGUAGUAGUUAUGGUCUUGAAACUCAAAGAAUUUGGCGGUGCUUUAGUCCUUUCAGAGGAACCUGUCCCGUAAUCGAUAGUCCACGUUAUAUCUUACUUAAUUUUGUAUUCAGCUUGUAUACCUCCGUCUUCAGAAUAUCCUAUGAGGGUUGAUGAAUUUUCUAAAUUCUUUAUGAAGGAAUUAUGUCAGGUCAAGGUGCAGUUUAUGGUUAAGUGGCGAUGGGUUACAAUAAAUUUAUUUAUACGGAAAUUGACUUGAAACUUAGUUGAUUUAAGGUGGAUUUGAAGGUAAUUUUGUUUAUAAAAUUAAAUUGAUUUUGGCUCUAAAGCAUGCACACAUCGCCCGUCGCUCUCGUUAAUUAAGAUGAG
RNAcentral lists this ribosomal RNA (559 nucleotides) under Sweltsa sp. MT-2021. Its description in RNAcentral is "partial 12S ribosomal RNA". The record is from RNAcentral. Lineage: Eukaryota; Metazoa; Arthropoda; Insecta; Plecoptera; Chloroperlidae.